This 885-nucleotide ribosomal RNA is filed under the name Alternaria kikuchiana. RNAcentral's name for it is "LSU rRNA". It matches the Rfam family "Eukaryotic large subunit ribosomal RNA", at positions 36 to 940 of the family's 3401-position model. The record is from RNAcentral. Lineage: Eukaryota; Fungi; Ascomycota; Dothideomycetes; Pleosporales; Pleosporaceae.
AAGCAUAUCAAUAAGCGGAGGAAAAGAAACCAACAGGGAUUGCCCUAGUAACGGCGAGUGAAGCGGCAACAGCUCAAAUUUGAAAUCUGGCUCUUUUAGAGUCCGAGUUGUAAUUUGCAGAGGGCGCUUUGGCUUUGGCAGCGGUCCAAGUUCCUUGGAACAGGACGUCACAGAGGGUGAGAAUCCCGUACGUGGUCGCUGGCUAUUGCCGUGUAAAGCCCCUUCGACGAGUCGAGUUGUUUGGGAAUGCAGCUCUAAAUGGGAGGUACAUUUCUUCUAAAGCUAAAUAUUGGCCAGAGACCGAUAGCGCACAAGUAGAGUGAUCGAAAGAUGAAAAGCACUUUGGAAAGAGAGUCAAACAGCACGUGAAAUUGUUGAAAGGGAAGCGCUUGCAGCCAGACUUGCUUACAGUUGCUCAUCCGGGUUUCUACCCGGUGCACUCUUCUGUAGGCAGGCCAGCAUCAGUUUGGGCGGUAGGAUAAAGGUCUCUGUCACGUACCUCCUUUCGGGGAGGCCUUAUAGGGGAGACGACAUACUACCAGCCUGGACUGAGGUCCGCGCAUCUGCUAGGAUGCUGGCGUAAUGGCUGUAAGCGGCCCGUCUUGAAACACGGACCAAGGAGUCUAACAUCUAUGCGAGUGUUUGGGUGUCAAGCCCGAGCGCGUAAUGAAAGUGAACGGAGGUGGGAACCCGCAAGGGUGCACCAUCGACCGAUCCUGAUGUCUUCGGAAGGAUUUGAGUAAGAGCAUGGCUGUUGGGACCCGAAAGAUGGUGAACUAUGCUUGAAUAGGGUGAAGCCAGAGGAAACUCUGGUGGAGGCUCGCAGCGGUUCUGACGUGCAAAUCGAUCGUCAAAUUUGGGCAUAGGGGCGAAAGACUAAUCGAC